RNAcentral lists this ribosomal RNA (93 nucleotides) under uncultured bacterium. Its description in RNAcentral is "partial 16S ribosomal RNA". It matches the Rfam family "Bacterial small subunit ribosomal RNA", at positions 1390 to 1482 of the family's 1533-position model. The record is from RNAcentral.
CCGCCCGUCACGCCAUGGAAGUUGGUUUCGCUUGAAGAGAUAAAGCUAACCGCAAGGAGGCAUAUCUCAAUGGCGAUACCGAUGACUGGGGUG